Long non-coding RNA from Cyprinus carpio carpio, 365 nucleotides. Lineage: Eukaryota; Metazoa; Chordata; Actinopteri; Cypriniformes; Cyprinidae. The record is from Ensembl.
GCCAACCGCUAAAAAAGAAGCUGUUGUUUGCCGUGUCGGUAAGUAAAAAAAAAAAAAUCUUUGGUCUUUACCAAACGUUGACAACUUUAAGAACGUGUGCGUCAUUUGUGUGCAUGUGCAUAAACAACACAUUCUACACAUUUUCAGUCCAAGCCUGAUGCAGGGCAGUUCUCCCGGGUUAAGGGGUCCCUGCUGCAGUUUCACCAGUAAAGGAAAUUACUUGUUACAGUUCACUUGAAGGACCACAUAAGCCAUGCAGUGGUGCAUGGAGGAGCGCCAAGAGGACAUAAAGUGGAAGUUUGUAAGGGACAUUGGUCCAGCGUGGUACAGAGUCAUCGUGGGUUAUUCUGUGGGGAGGUGACAGG